AGCUUUAUAUUCAAAUAAUGAUUUAAAAUUGCAAAUUUUAAGGUAUAAAUAAUUUAUUAAGGCUU
Molecule: transfer RNA, 65 nt
Filed under: Tyspanodes striata
Lineage: Eukaryota; Metazoa; Arthropoda; Insecta; Lepidoptera; Crambidae
Description: tRNA-Cys
Source: RNAcentral